RNAcentral lists this ribosomal RNA (497 nucleotides) under uncultured bacterium. RNAcentral's name for it is "partial 16S ribosomal RNA". It matches the Rfam family "Bacterial small subunit ribosomal RNA", at positions 28 to 507 of the family's 1533-position model. The record is from RNAcentral.
GAUGAACGCUGGCGGCGUGCCUAAUACAUGCAAGUCGAGCGAACGGACGAGAAGCUUGCUUCUCUGAUGUUAGCGGCGGACGGGUGAGUAACACGUGGAUAACCUACCUAUAAGACUGGGAUAACUUCGGGAAACCGGAGCUAAUACCGGAUAAUAUUUUGAACCGCAUGGUUCAAAAGUGAAAGACGGUCUUGCUGUCACUUAUAGAUGGAUCCGCGCUGCAUUAGCUAGUUGGUAAGGUAACGGCUUACCAAGGCAACGAUGCAUAGCCGACCUGAGAGGGUGAUCGGCCACACUAGAACUGAGACACGGUCCAGACUCCUACGGGAGGCAGCAGUAGGGAAUCUUCCGCAAUGGGCGAAAGCCUGACGGAGCAACGCCGCGUGAGUGAUGAAGGUCUUCGGAUCGUAAAACUCUGUUAUUAGGGAAGAACAUAUGUGUAAGUAACAGUGCACAUCUUGACGGUACCUAAUCAGAAAGCCACGGCUAACUACGUG